UUAUGCAUCCAACGCGUUGGGAGCUUUCCCCAUAUGGUCGACCUGCAGGCGGCCCGGGAAUUCCACUAGUGAUUAGAGUUUGAUCCUGGCUCAGGAUGAACGCUAGCGGCAGGCCUAACACAUGCAAGUCGAACGGUAACAGGAAUUAGCUUGCUAAUUUGCUGACGAGUGGCGCACGGGUGCGUAACGCGUAUACAAUCUACCUUUUGCUGAGGGAUAGCCCAGAGAAAUUUGGAUUAAUACCUCAUGGUAUUAUUGACAGGCAUCUGUUAAUAAUUAAAGGUUACGGCAAAAGAUGAGUAUGCGUCCCAUUAGCUAGUUGGCGAGGUAACGGCUCACCAAGGCAACGAUGGGUAGGGGUCCUGAGAGGGAGAUCCCCCACACUGGUACUGAGACACGGACCAGACUCCUACGGGAGGCAGCAGUGAGGAAUAUUGGACAAUGGGCGAGAGCCUGAUCCAGCCAUGCCGCGUGCAGGAAGACUGCCCUAUGGGUUGUAAACUGCUUUUAUACAGGAAGAAUAAGCCUUACGUGUAAGGUGAUGACGGUACCGUAAGAAUAAGGACCGGCUAACUCCGUGCCAGCAGCCGCGGUAAUACGGAGGGUCCGAGCGUUAUCCGGAAUUAUUGGGUUUAAAGGGUCCGUAGGCGGAUGAUUAAGUCAGGGGUGAAAGUUUGCAGCUCAACUGUAAAAUUGCCUUUGAUACUGGUUAUCUUGAGUUGUAUUGAAGUAGGCGGAAUAUGUAGUGUAGCGGUGAAAUGCAUAGAUAUUACAUAGAACACCAAUUGCGAAGGCAGCUUACUAAGUACUAACUGACGCUGAUGGACGAAAGCGUGGGUAGCGAACAGGAUUAGAUACCCUGGUAGUCCACGCCGUAAACGAUGGAUACUAGCUGUUCGGGGCCUUGAGCUCUGAGCGGCUAAGCGAAAGUGAUA
RNAcentral lists this ribosomal RNA (935 nucleotides) under uncultured Bacteroidota bacterium. Its description in RNAcentral is "bacterial SSU rRNA". It matches the Rfam family "Bacterial small subunit ribosomal RNA", at positions 1 to 862 of the family's 1533-position model. Lineage: Bacteria; Pseudomonadati; Bacteroidota. The record is from RNAcentral.